This 732-nucleotide ribosomal RNA is filed under the name SAR202 cluster bacterium. Its description in RNAcentral is "bacterial SSU rRNA". It matches the Rfam family "Bacterial small subunit ribosomal RNA", at positions 1 to 749 of the family's 1533-position model. The record is from RNAcentral. Lineage: Bacteria; Bacillati; Chloroflexota; Dehalococcoidia.
UUUACAUAGAGUUUGAUCCUGGCUCAGGACGAACGCUGGCGGUGCGCCUAAUGCAUGCAAGUCGAACGGGCGAAGGGGCUUCGGCCCCCUAGCUAGUGGCAGACGGCUGAGUAACACGUAAGUAACCUACCCCGAAGCGGGGGAUAAACUCGAGAAAUCGGGUCUAAUACCCCGUAAGUUCUUCGCACUUCGAUGCGAAGUAGAAAGGUUUCGACCGCUUUGGGAGGGGCUUGCGGCCUAUCAGGUAGUUGGUGGGGUAAUGGCCUACCAAGCCUCAGACGGGUAACCGGUGUGAGAGCACGAUCGGUCAGAGGGGGACUGAGACACGGCCCCCACUCCUACGGGAGGCAGCAGCAGGGAAUCUUGCGCAAUGGGCGAAAGCCUGACGCAGCGACACCGCGUGGGGGAAGAAUGCUUUCGAGUUGUAAACCCCUUUUCCCGGGGAAGAGAACGGACGGUACCCGGGGAAUAAGGUUCGGCUAACUACGUGCCAGCAGCCGCGGUAAUACGUAGGAACCGAGCGUUGUCCGGAUUUACUGGGCGUAAAGUGCGCGUAGGCGGUCUGUUAAGUCUCAUGUGAAAUCUCCCGGCUCAACUGGGAGGGGUCAUGGGAAACUGGCAGGCUUGAGGGCAGCAGAGGAGAGUGGAAUUCCCGGAGUAGUGGUGAAAUGCGUAGAUACCGGGAGGAACACCAGAGGCGAAGGCGACUCUCUGGGCUGUACCUGACGCUGA